CACACAUCACCUUUUAAUUGUUCAGCAUGUUCAGAACACAGCUCUAAUUGUUCAAAUUGCUUCUAUAUACUCUCAUAGAUUUGUGUUCUUGGUCAGCAAAUUAUUCAACAGGUAACAGUACUCCAAAUACAGAUUGUUCUUGUUCAGAUUUGUUCAAAAUAUCCAUGCACACACAUACACACGGUUUCAGGUAAACAGUAUAUCUACUCCUACUGUAAUAGGAGUAUAGUAUAUUCUGAACAUUACUCCUAUAUACUCCUACUAUAGGAGUAUAUCUACAGGACCUGUACUCCUAUAUACUGAGAGAAGAGAGAAGAGAUUGAGAGAGAAGAGAAGAGAGUAUAUAUUCCUACAGUAAUCAGAAGAUAGAUGUACAACAAGCAUAUAUAUUCAGCAGUCACACUACUUACAAAGCUUCAUUGCACUAAAAAGAUGUCAUUCUUACUCAAGUUCAGGUUUAAGCAGUCUUAAUUAACAAGUUCAGAUUUGGUUCAGGUUUAAGCAAUGUUAAUUAAACAUGCACAGAGGCAUAGCUAAACAUGUCAUUUGAGAGAGAAGAGAAGUUAAUUCAGAAGAGAGAAGAAUACAUCUACAAAAUACUCCUAGCAGACAACAUGCGUACAUGUACACAGAGAAAGGCAAAGCAUAUGAGAACUUAUCUUAUGAGUAGGAGUAGAUCUUGUAGAGCAGUACCCAAUGCUCCACCUGUAGACGGUGUUGAAAAAAAAAAGAAAACUUCAAGUUACUCCCAAUCAUAAAAAAACUUUAAACAUAUAUCAUGGGCAGCUGAAAGUAAAUGCACAAUCAAAGGCAAAUCAACUUCUGAAAAAAGAGAGGCAAAUGGAACUCACUUUUGUAGCCUCUUCUGGAUCCUCACCUAUAUUAUGUUUUCAGCAAGAACAGAUAGAGUCUUAGCAACAACAAAUGGACUCUUAGCAAAACCAGCAAAUCAGUACAUGGACUACUAGCAAAAUCUGCACUAGAUCAUGGUGUACAUUAACAGUAAAUAAAGAUCAGAGAGCAUAGCAAAAAUAGAAACAAGAACAAGAACAUAGUUUUUAGAAAUGCUACUCCUAGCAAAAUCUGCACCAGAUCAUGGAGUACUCGGAGAGCUUUCUGAAUUGAUUUGUGCACUUAAACAGUACUCCUAGCUAAGCUAGAGGAGUAUGCUAAUCUGAAUUUCUGAAUUGAAUACUGCACUUCAACUAGAACAAGAACAGAGCAAUGACAUCUCAGAAAAAGAAAAUAAUAGGACCAAAGUACUCCUAGCUAAGUGCAUAGUACGUGUACAACAUUUGAACAAGAACCGAGUACUCAUGCUAAACAAGAACAGAGCCAACGCACAACAAAAAUGAACAAGAACAGAGUAC
This 1370-nucleotide long non-coding RNA is filed under the name Brachypodium distachyon (stiff brome). Its description in RNAcentral is "long non-coding RNA (BDIS_LNC005897)". Lineage: Eukaryota; Viridiplantae; Streptophyta; Magnoliopsida; Poales; Poaceae. The record is from RNAcentral.